Zea mays is the source of this 1550-nucleotide long non-coding RNA. RefSeq lists it as uncharacterized. The record is from RefSeq and is a predicted model, not a curated record. NCBI's taxonomy places the organism in Eukaryota, Viridiplantae, Streptophyta, Magnoliopsida, Poales, Poaceae. The transcript has 2 exons.
ACAGUGAAUAAGUUUUCUUAAGUAAGUUUGAUUUUGUGCUUCAAACAAAUUGGAGUAAACUGUGUCCAAAAUCUCCCUAUCAGGUGUUGAGUUCAGUUUGGUUUCAGUUGGCUGAAUCUGAAUUUUAGCGUUUCCAACCCACUUUGGAUCACUAUAACUUUUGAUCCAUGAGCCUUUGGUCUAUGGUUCCUGCACCAAAUUUGUAGAGCUAUAUUUUGUCAACAAGUUUUGUUGACGGAGAUCUCCCUGUUACCACUGAAAUUUGUGAGUAAAUUGAGCUCAAAGUUGCUCUGUCAGAUAGAUGUGUACUGAAUUUGGUUCAGAUAGCUGAAUCUGAAUUUCUGUAUUUUCACCCCACUUUGAAGCACUAUAACUCUUGGUCUAUGAUUAUUUGACCUAGGUUUGCUGCAGCAGGUUUGUAGAGGUAUGUUUUGUGAGCAAAUUUUGUUAACUAAGGUUAGCCUGUUAUUACUGAAAAUUGGGAGAAAUUUUGCUCCAAAGUGAUCCUGUCAGGUUCAUGUGUUCGGGUAGCUGAAACAGAAAAUUCAGGGUUGGGCUUCUGUAACUGAAGAUUUUUUUUCUCUGUUGGCUGGACUUCACUAGAGUGCUCGAGUUGUAACAGAGAUAGAGUGUAUGACCAAGGAUUUAGUAACCUCAUCACUACUGCGAAAUAUUUAGUUUUGGACUGUUGUAUGGCCUGUGAGCAGUAAAAAUCUCAUCUGCUAGCUCUGUGGUGGAGUGCACUGGACAACAAAAUUCUGAAAGUUUUACCCAUGCAGAUAAUGUCAAGUUGGAUUUAUGUGAGCCUGUCCUAGGUGGAGUCCUUAUCUGCCUUCUAUUGUUUAUGUAAAAUGAACCAAGUUAAGUGUUUUGGCUGCACCCAUGAACAUGUGUGGCACUGUGAUUGUGUGCCACGUGUGGAGGCCAUGCAGUGCUAGCACCAUAUAGACCACUCUCCACUGCCUGCGUGGUGUGCUCAUGGCUGUUUGCUCCCUCGUUCAGCCACCUUAGGGUUUGGUUUUGUGAAGUUUUUCCCCUACUCUUGAGCUCCAAAUUUGUGGUCAUCGUGUGAGUGAUGUGGCAGUGUUCAGGCCUAGGUAACCUCCCUUUCAAACCCCCAAAUCUGAUUUGCUCUUGUGCUGUGUGCCAGCUCCCUAGUUGGUGACCACGCCCACUAAAUUCCCCACAUCGCCGUGGCCAGGCUUUCUCGUGGAGUUUUUCACCCGUGUGGUGAAUGUUCCGUGCUCUGCAAAGAACACCUAGAAGAAGUGGUGUCUGCAGAAGGAGUUCACUUCAGUGCUUGCUGAUCCAGUGGUGGAGUUUCAUCUAACUUCUUACCAGAGUAGAAGGAAUUUAGAUCUUCUCCUGCAAUAAGGCAAGCCCCGGUGCAUUUGCCACCUUCCUUGUAUUACAAAAUUUUAUCACUUAUAUGCUGCAUUAGGUAAUAGGAGUUGAAUGAUUAAACACUUGAUGCAUUACCAUCCUUGAAAGAUUGAUUAUCAUACCUUGUUACCUGUUUUAUAAAAACUAGUAAUGCUUAGUUAUGCUUA